GACGAACGCUGGCGGCGUGCCUAAUACAUGCAAGUCGAACGCAGGGGGGACGGGUGAGUAACACGUGGGUAACCUCCCAUCAGAGGGGAGAACACUUGGCAACAGGUGCUAAACCGAUACUGGUUGAUGGACCCGCUGUGCAUUAGCUAGUGGGUGGGGUAACGGCUCACCAAGGCCACGAGGCAUAGCGGGCCUGAGAGGGUGAUCGGCCACACUGGGACUGAGACACGGCCCAGACUCCUACGGGAGGCAGCAGUAGGGAAUCUUCGGCAAUGGACGAAAGUCUGACCGAGCAACGCCGCGUGAGUGAAGAAGGUUUUCGGAUCGUAAAACUCUGUUGUUAGAGAAGCGGUAUCUAACCAGAAAGCCACGGCUAACUACGUGCCAGCCGCCGCGGUAAUAC
RNAcentral lists this ribosomal RNA (403 nucleotides) under uncultured bacterium. RNAcentral's name for it is "partial 16S ribosomal RNA". It matches the Rfam family "Bacterial small subunit ribosomal RNA", at positions 28 to 526 of the family's 1533-position model. The record is from RNAcentral.